AACAGAAAACCCCAUACCAGGCCAAAAACUCACACAACAAAACAAAAAGGGUGAUUUAAAACACCUGCUCAAUCACAAAACUUCAAACACCCAAACUCCAAGCUCCCACAUCACCAGACCACAACAAAGCAAAGAAAAAAACUCCAAAACUGGCACAGCAAUCAUGAACGAAAGCAAUACAAAGGCUCCAUGCACCAUUCAUAAAACAUACAAGGAUUG
Molecule: long non-coding RNA, 219 nt
Filed under: Trifolium pratense (red clover)
Lineage: Eukaryota; Viridiplantae; Streptophyta; Magnoliopsida; Fabales; Fabaceae
Description: long non-coding RNA (TPRA_LNC012305)
Source: RNAcentral